Molecule: long non-coding RNA, 2550 nt
Organism: Pyrus x bretschneideri (Chinese white pear)
Lineage: Eukaryota; Viridiplantae; Streptophyta; Magnoliopsida; Rosales; Rosaceae
Exons: 11
Source: RefSeq, a predicted model, not a curated record
CCCCUCGAUUUCACGCUAUUUACAACAAAAACCAUCAGAUCUGGGCUGGGUUGGGAAGGUAAUUCUGAAAAGUUAGGGGGUAAUUGUGUCCGUGUGUUUGAGCCGAAUUUCACUUUAUUUACAAAAUUGCCACCGCCUUUUCUCUCCCUCUUUCUCUCUCCCGACUCUGUCGAUAACCAUCAUCCAUCAAAUCGCCCAUCCUUUCCUUUUCUCACUCUGUGAGCUCAUUUCCUACAACCCUAGCACUGUUUCUCUCUUAUUUCUCUCAAAUUCGAGAGACUUCUCUCUCCCAUUUCUCUCAACCUAGCCCCAGCGCUGCUCACCCCAUUCCUCUUCAUCAUCUCAGUUAAAUCCGUUCAACAAUCACCGAUGCACCUCCACACGAACCCAUAUGGAAUUUUCCUCCUGCCCACGAACCAACCUCCAUUUCGUGGAUCCACCUUCGUUGCAAGUCGCCGACACCCACAAAUGAACUCAGAUACGACCAUCAAAAGUAGGGCGGAGCUCUCGAAGAUGUCAGAUUUGAGAAGGGAAAAGGAGCGGAGCGGAAUUUAAAAUGCGCGAGCUCUGCUUCCAGGCCUCCCCGAAACUCUUGCAGGUCAGUCGUCCGAACCGAUUUCUGAAUUUUGGAUGUAUUGCGUUUGAAAAUGCCGAAAAUUAAUUGUUUUGUUGGAGUCCGAUUGAUUUCGAAGGAUCGGCGGUGGUUUUUAAAUUUGUAUUUGUAUUUGGUGCUUAAUUUAAAAAAUUGGAGUGAGUUUGGUGUGGAUCCGAGCUAAAUUAAGUAAUUAAUUGACUCUGCAAUUUUAAAAUUUUUUCAUUUGAAUUUUGUUUCAACAAACCCCACUUCUCUCGCCACGCCCCGUACUCCGGAUCGAAACACCGUCGUCCCCUGCCUCCACAUCCGGAACCCAAACCCGAGCUCGACAAGCCCACUUACAAGCAACCUACCGUGCCGCCGACUCCGCUCAAGCCGCCAUCGCUGCCUCUCUCGAUCCAUCAUUUGGUAUCACCAUCGAAUCCAAAAAGCUGCAGGUGCUUUGGCCGACGGACUCACUUGCCCAGUGGCGAAAGGGAGUUGUAGCUGGUGCUGAAAUUAGAGAUUCCGGUGCCAGGUCGUCGACAAGUUCGAUCAUCGCUGCCACCAGUUCACGCAGGCCUCAUCUCUAAGCUUUAGGAUCUGUAGACUGCUACAACUGCAGAGGGAAGCUCUGUGAUAAAUCUUUUAAUUCACUCUAUAUUUCUUUUUUUCAUCUGGGUAAUUAACUAAUUUCAGGCCAGGUCAAACGCCGCAGCAGCCUCGCUCCGUUUUCCAAAAUCCUCUUCACUUAGGCAUGCUUGAUGAGUGUUGCAGCACUGCCAUCCCUAAAUCAGAAGAUAGUCGGAAGAAGGAAGAAGAAGAAGAAGAAGGUCGUGGAAUAUCGAAAGCUUUUAGCUUUGUGAAGAUUUGUUUGAAAAGUAGCAGGAAGAAAGAAUGAGACGGUUGGAGUUCAGAGUGAAAGUUUACUUUGAUGCUAAUAGGUUGGAUCACCAGGAGAGAUUUGAGUUUUAUCAUUACAACUAAAUGUCCAUAGACACAUGAUACAGAUUGAAGCAAAUGUCAAAUUUAAAAUGGUAUGAAUCAGGACAGCUGCAAACUGUGAUUUGCGGACCUUAAAACGGAAAAGUAAGUUCGCGCUUCACUUCGGCAGCAUAAUCUAGCUUUCGAGUUCAGUUUUCAGGAAGCAAAUCAUUGAAUACACACGGAAAAUUAAAAGAAUUUUAGUUUUUGAAUUCGUAUUCAAUGACUUUGAAAUGGAGAACUUGGUUGAUUGAGACAGAGAGAUUCCAACAGCUCCAAACUCUGAUAUGUUGAUCGCGAAAUGGAGAAGUUACUUCUCGCUUAACUUUUCACAACGUAAACCAGCUCCUCAGUUCAGUUCUUAAAUAUGAGAUUUAAUCCCUUGAACUUGAAUUGGAUCACUCUAUGGGACUUUGUGUUGUUUGGCUUCUUUCUUCUCUCUUCACAUUUCUCUCACUCCCUUGCUCAAUAACUUUUCACCAUUUUCGAUUCUUUCAGAGAGUUGAAUGAGAUCUGGGCAGUCACUUAAAUUCAGGUCAAGAUGGGACACCUAUCUGGGCAAUGUCUGGAUGUCUAGGCUUGGGUAGAGACUUGGAAUUAUGGAAGAGGAAGCAACUUUGGAGAAAAGAGCUCAUGCACCACUGAAGGAGAUCACAUUAGUCAGGACUCCAGGGGCAAAUUCAACAAGCAAACAUCAUAACGUGAUAAAGGAUUAUUAGACAGCAGAAGAACAAGCGAGGAUGGGUUCCUGGUGUUGCGUGAAGUUGAUGUGCAUGAGAUAGACAUCCAUCCUGUCUCCAAUGGAGGACAUAUAUGUUGUACAUUUAUGCAUAAAUAGAGUUGUAAACAUAGUUGUAAAUGUGUAAAGAGUUUUAAACCCAUAAAAAUGAUUGUAAAUAUUGUUGGACAUUUGUGUAAAUAGAGUUGUAAACAUAAUUAUGUGUGUAAAUAGAAUUGUAAACCCGCAGCAUCGCGCGGGCACCUGUGCUUGU